ACAACAGCAAUUUGUUCCCACUUAAAGCCAAGGCAAACAGUCAGUGAAUUUCAAGAGCUUCUGAACAUGUGAAUGCUAGUUUUGCCUUCUUAAAAUGCUGCUUCCAGGAAUAGCAUAGUGAAAUGAUGUCUCCACUGUAAUCAUUGAUCUCAAAUAUUUUCCAGUCUCAAGGACUCUCACUAAUUAACUUGUUAACAGGCAUUUCUGUUACACCUGAGGAAUCACCCACCUGGUGUCUUCAAAUGAAAUCCGAUCUCAUACUAAAGGCCAUUGCCUAGAAGCUGUGAAAACGCUAUUCUAGCAACCUUAUGCUGUUUCUUUGAGAAAAUUGGGAUGCUAUAGAGGUGAAACCAGCUAUAGGUGGAUGGUAAAAAGAGUGAAACCAGUUUGAAGAAAAACCCCAAAACUUCUAGUCUAUAUAGUAAAAAUAGAUAAAUCUGCCUUUGAGUAAGAUUAUCUAACUUGUCCCAUAUGUCACUCACAAAAACAAUGACAUUGUAUUAAUCUGGCAUAAUAAUUACUGUUUUAUAAAGACAAACAGAUUGAUAGCAAAAUGCAAAAAAUGUGUUAUGCUAAUACUCUGAAUAUGCUUUCAAAAUAAUUCUAAUGUAGUAUUAAUUUCCAUAUUCCUGCCAAAUACACAAGAUGGUAUUUAAAUAAUAAUUUCUGGCAGAGUUUGAAAGUUAUUUUGAAUAUAAAAAAUGCUGUCUAAUUUUGCUUAGCCCCCUGAACAUUUUUAUUUGAGUUAUAAUCAAACUUUACUUACAAAAAAUACUUCCACUCUAUACAACACUGGUAAAAACCUCACAUAAACUGUGUGUCCAGUUUUGGAUACCACACUUCAACAAAUGCAUGGAUCAAUGGGACAGACAGCAGCAAAGAUUAUCUGGAAAACUGCCUGUUAGGAAAAAAUUUUAAAAACUGGGUAUGUUUGUCCACAGAAGAAGAGAGUAAGGGAGACACAUUGACAGGUGAGUACUACUAGGAGAUGGUUAUAUACUGUUUUUCAUAUCACUGAAGAUAGGCAAAUAGUAAUGGAUUUAAAUUAAAAAGAGAGAUGAUUUAGGUUAAACAUUAAAACUCUCUA
Molecule: long non-coding RNA, 1087 nt
Organism: Alligator mississippiensis (American alligator)
Lineage: Eukaryota; Metazoa; Chordata; Crocodylia; Alligatoridae
Exons: 3
Source: RefSeq, a predicted model, not a curated record